Molecule: ribosomal RNA, 415 nt
Filed under: uncultured bacterium
Lineage: Bacteria
Description: bacterial SSU rRNA
Rfam family: Bacterial small subunit ribosomal RNA
Source: RNAcentral
UAGGGAAUAUUGCACAAUGGGGGAAACCCUGAUGCAGCGACGCCGCGUGAAGGAAGAAGUAUCUCGGUAUGUAAACUUCUAUCAGCAGGGAAGACAAUGACGGUACCUGACUAAGAAGCCCCGGCUAACUACGUGCCAGCAGCCGCGGUAAUACGUAGGGGGCAAGCGUUAUCCGGAUUUACUGGGUGUAAAGGGAGCGUAGACGGCAAUGCAAGUCUGAAGUGAAAGGACGGGGCUUAACCCUGUGACUGCUUUGGAAACUGUGUAGCUUGAGUGCCGGAGGGGUAAGCGGAAUUCCUAGUGUAGCGGUGAAAUGCGUAGAUAUUAGGAGGAACACCAGUGGCGAAGGCGGCUUACUGGACGGUAACUGACGUUGAGGCUCGAAAGCGUGGGGAGCAAACAGGAUUAGAUACCC